RNAcentral lists this ribosomal RNA (403 nucleotides) under uncultured bacterium. Its description in RNAcentral is "partial 16S ribosomal RNA". It matches the Rfam family "Bacterial small subunit ribosomal RNA", at positions 29 to 526 of the family's 1533-position model. The record is from RNAcentral.
AAUGAACGCUGGCGGCAGGCCUAACACAUGCAAGUCGAGCGAGCGGCGGACGGGUGAGUAAUGCAUGGGGACCGCCCGAUAGAGGGGGAUAAAUACUGGAAACGGUGGCUAAUACCGCAUACUGCUGGCUAACCCAUAUGGGAUGAGCUAGUAGGUAAGGUAAUGGCGUACCUAGGCGACGAUCCCUAGCUGGUCUGAGAGGAUGAUCAGCCACACUGGGACUGAGACACGGCCCAGACUCCUACGGAGGCAGCAGUGGGGAAUAUUGCACAAUGGGCGCAAGCCUGAUGCAGCCAUGCCGCGUGUAUGAAGAAGGCCCUAGGGUUGUAAAGUACUUUCAGUCGGGAGGCGUUACCGACAGAGAAAGCACCGGCUAACUCCGUGCCAGCAGCCGCGGUAAUAC